This 510-nucleotide ribosomal RNA is filed under the name uncultured bacterium. RNAcentral describes it as "bacterial SSU rRNA". It matches the Rfam family "Bacterial small subunit ribosomal RNA", at positions 28 to 526 of the family's 1533-position model. The record is from RNAcentral.
GACGAACGCUGGCGGCGUGCCUAACACAUGCAAGUCGAACGGAAAUACACGCUGAAAUUGAGACAGCUUGCUGAGGAUAUUUCUUGUGUAUUUUAGUGGCGGACGGGUGAGUAACGCGUGAGUAACCUGCCUUUCAGAGGGGGAUAACGUUCUGAAAAGAACGCUAAUACCGCAUGAUACUUUGAGAUCGCAUGAUUUUGAAGUCAAAGGAGCAAUCCGCUGAAAGAUGGACUCGCGUCCGAUUAGAUAGUUGGUGAGGUAACGGCCCACCAAGUCGACGAUCGGUAGCCGGACUGAGAGGUUGAUCGGCCACAUUGGGACUGAGACACGGCCCAGACUCCUACGGGAGGCAGCAGUGAGGAAUAUUGGGCAAUGGGGGAAACCCUGACCCAGCAACGCCGCGUGAGGGAAGACGGUUUUCGGAUUGUAAACCUCUGUCCUCUGUGAAGAUAAUGACGGUAGCAGAGGAGGAAGCCACGGCUAACUACGUGCCAGCCGCCGCCGUAACAC